UCAAACUUGGUCAUUUAGAGGAAGUAAAAGUCGUAACAAGGUCUCCGUUGGUGAACCAGCGGAGGGAUCAUUAUAGAGUGUUUUACUCGCCCAACCCUUUGUGAACUUACCCUGUUCCCUUGCCUCGGCGGCGUCCCUCCCGCCCCCCUCCAGUUCCUGGCGGGGGCGCGGCGGGGGGCCCGCCGGCGGCGAGGACCCAAACCCUUUGAAUUUGCAGCGUUAUACCUCUGAGUGAACAAGCAAAAAGUUAAAACUUUCAACAACGGAUCUCUUGGCUCUGGCAUCGAUGAAGAACGCAGC
RNAcentral lists this unclassified non-coding RNA (300 nucleotides) under uncultured fungus. RNAcentral's name for it is "partial contains small subunit ribosomal RNA, internal transcribed spacer 1, and 5.8S ribosomal RNA". The stretch from base 1 to 73 matches the Rfam family "Eukaryotic small subunit ribosomal RNA", at positions 1759 to 1831 of the family's 1831-position model. The record is from RNAcentral. Lineage: Eukaryota; Fungi.